RNAcentral lists this transfer RNA (87 nucleotides) under compost metagenome. Its description in RNAcentral is "tRNA-Asp". The record is from RNAcentral.
GCGGCGGGUAGGCAAGGGGCCGUUCGUCUGUCAGAGGGUCGGUUGCCUGAAGCACGACCUCAUGUGAUCCUUGCGCGCCCCGCCCCU